CUGCCUAGAAGGACAGCAUCCCGGAGUCACCUCUUCACUGUUGACGGUGAGACUGGACAGAGGAACUCUGCCUAGAAGGCCAGCAUCCCGGAGUCACCUCUUCACUGUUGACGUUGAGACUGGACAGAGGAACUCUGCCUAGAAGGUCAGCAUCUCGGAGUCACCUCUUCACUGUUGACGGUGAGACUGGACAGAGGAACCCUGCCUAGAAGGCCAGCAUCCCGGAGUCACCUCUUCACUGUUGACGUUGAGACUGGACAGAGGAACUCUGCCUAGAAGGACAGCAUCCCGGAGUCGCCUCUUCACUGUUGACGGUGAGACUGGACAGAGGAACUCUGCCUAGAAGGACAGCAUCCCGGAGUCACCUCUUCACUGUUGACGGUGAGACUGGACAGAGGAACUCUGCCUAGAAGGCCAGCAUCCCGGAGUCGCCUCUUCACUGUUGACGGUGAGACUGGACAGAGGAACUCUGCCUAGAAGGCCAGCAUCCCAGAGUCGCCUCUUCACUGUUGACGGUGAGACUGGACAGAGGAUCUCUGCCUAGAAGGUCAGCAUCUCGGAGUCACCUCUCUGGUUUUGUGAUGAAAUGUGUAUGAACUUAUCCUGCCGCGGCCUUAUUAUAUAUCACUGUGGCAUUUAAUGGGUUAUAGAGCAAACAGCGUAAUUAUCACAACCUAGGUUGUGUUAUGGAUUUUUUUACUGGCUUGGCUUCCUCAGUGAUUUUACACCACUACUGUACUUUAUUAGUGUAACAAUAUAACUUUAGACCGUCCCACCGUACUACUGCAUAUAAGGUAUAACUUUAGACCGUACCCCAGUACUACUGCAUAUAAGGUAUAACUUUAGACCGUCCCCCCGUACUACUGCAUAUAAGGUAUAACUUUAGACCGUCCCCCAGUACUACUGCAUAUAAGGUAUAACUUCAGACCGUCCCCCAGUACUACUGCAUAUAAGGUAUAACUUUAGACCGUCCCCCAGUACUACUGCAUAUAAGGUAUAACUUUAGACCGUCCCCCAGUACUACUGCAUAUAAGGUAUAACUUCAGACCGUCCCCCAGUACUACUGCAUAUAAGGUAUAACUUUACACCGUCCCCCAGUACUACUGCAUAUAAGGUAUAACUUUAGACCGUCCCCCAGUACUACUGCAUAUAAGGUAUAACUUCAGACCGUCCCCCAGUACUACUGCAUAUAAGGUAUAACUUCAGACCGUCCCCCAGUACUACUGCAUAUAAGGUAUAACUUCAGACCGUCCCCCAGUACUACUGCAUAUAAGGUAUAACUUCAGACCGUCCCCCAGUACUACUGCAUAUAAGGUAUAACUUCAGACCGUCCCCCAGUACUACUGCAUAUAAGGUAUAACUUCAGACCGUCCCCCAGUACUACUGCGUAUAAGGUAUAACUUUAGACCGUCCCCCAGUACUACUGCAUAUAAGGUAUAACUUUAGACCGUCCCCCAGUACUACUGCGUAUAAGGUAUAACUUUAGACCGUCCCCCAGUACUACUGCAUAUAAGGUAUAACUUUACACCGUCCCCCAGUACUACUGCAUAUAAGGUAUAACUUUAGACCGUCCCCCAGUACUACUGCAUAUAAGGUAUAACUUCAGACCGUCCCCCAGUACUACUGCAUAUAAGGUAUAACUUUAGACCGUCCCCCAGUACUACUGCAUAUAAGGUAUAACUUUACACCGUCCCCCAGUACUACUGCAUAUAAGGUAUAACUUCAGACCGUCCCCCAGUACUACUGCAUAUAAGGUAUAACUUUAGACCGUCCCCCAGUACUACUGCAUAUAAGGUAUAACUUCAGACCGUCCCCCAGUACUACUGCAUAUAAGGUAUAACUUCAGACCGUCCCCCAGUACUACUGCAUAUAAGGUAUAACUUCAGACCGUCCCCCAGUACUACUGCAUAUAAGGUAUAACUUUAGACCGCCCCCCAGUACUACUGCAUAUAAGGUAUAACUUCAGACCGUCCCCCAGUACUACUGCAUAUAAGGUAUAACUUCAGACCGUCCCCCAGUACUACUGCAUAUAAGGUAUAACUUCAGACCGUCCCCCAGUACUACUGCAUAUAAGGUAUAACUUCAGACCGUCCCCCAGUACUACUGCAUAUAAGGUGCUGAUCACAUGUUUCAUGAACUGAAAUAAAAGAUUCCAGAAAUGUUCCAUACGCACAAAAAGCUCAAAUUGUGUGCAGAACUUUAUUUACGUCCCUGUCAGUGAGCAUUUCUCAUUUUGCCAAGAUAAUCCAUCCACCUGACAGGUGUGGCAUAUCAAGACGCUGAUUAAACAGCGUAAAAGGCCAUUCUAAAAUGUGUACAGAUGUCUCAAGUUUUGAGGGAGUUGGCAUGCUGACUGCAGGAAUGUCCACCAGAGUUGUUGCCAGAGAAUUGAAUGUUCAUUUUUCUUCCAUAAGCCGCCUCCAGCGUCGUUUUAGAGAA
Oncorhynchus keta (chum salmon) is the source of this 2439-nucleotide long non-coding RNA. RefSeq lists it as uncharacterized. Lineage: Eukaryota; Metazoa; Chordata; Actinopteri; Salmoniformes; Salmonidae. The transcript has 4 exons. The record is from RefSeq and is a predicted model, not a curated record.